This 458-nucleotide ribosomal RNA is filed under the name Clostridioides sp. ZZV14-6045. Its description in RNAcentral is "bacterial SSU rRNA". It matches the Rfam family "Bacterial small subunit ribosomal RNA", at positions 338 to 795 of the family's 1533-position model. Lineage: Bacteria; Bacillati; Bacillota; Clostridia; Peptostreptococcales; Peptostreptococcaceae. The record is from RNAcentral.
CCUACGGGCGGCUGCAGUGAGGAAUAUUGGUCAAUGGGCGAGAGCCUGAACCAGCCAAGUAGCGUGAAGGAUGACUGCCCUAUGGGUUGUAAACUUCUUUUAUAAGGGAAUAAAGUGGCACGUGUGGCUUUUUGCAUGUACCUUAUGAAUAAGGAUCGGCUAACUCCGUGCCAGCAGCCGCGGUAAUACGGAGGAUCCGAGCGUUAUCCGGAUUUAUUGGGUUUAAAGGGAGCGUAGAUGGAUGUUUAAGUCAGUUGUGAAAGUUUGCGGCUCAACCGUAAAAUUGCAGUUGAUACUGGAUAUCUUGAGUGCAGUUGAGGCAGGCGGAAUUCGUGGUGUAGCGGUGAAAUGCUUAGAUAUCACGAAGAACUCCGAUUGCGAAGGCAGCCUGCUAAGCUGCAACUGACAUUGAGGCUCGAAAGUGUGGGUAUCAAACAGGAUUAGAUACCCUAGUAGUC